RNAcentral lists this transfer RNA (72 nucleotides) under Travisia sanrikuensis. RNAcentral's name for it is "tRNA-Gln". It matches the Rfam family "tRNA". From Rfam's summary of the family: Transfer RNA (tRNA) molecules are approximately 80 nucleotides in length. Their secondary structure includes four short double-helical elements and three loops (D, anti-codon, and T loops). The record is from RNAcentral. Lineage: Eukaryota; Metazoa; Annelida; Polychaeta; Opheliidae.
UUAUAAAUUAGUGUACCAGCGCACACAGGAAUUUGGCCCCUGAAGAAAAGGUUCAACUCCCUAAUUUAUAAA